CAGAUAUGUCUAAGUGCUGUGUGUUGUGCAGAGUGGAGAUCCUGAGUGGAACGCUGCAAGCUGGCUUGCACUGUUCCUUUGGGAGCAGUGAAUCUGGGAGCUUUGUGAGAGAUUGCAGUGAAUGCAGCACUCAACAUCUGGCAUGAAGGAUGAAUGAACAGCCUUCUCCGAGGCAGACUGGGUGAUAAGAGUUGCUUGGGAAGAACUGAGUGCCACUACUCCCACCAUCUCCUCCCAGUGGCUGACAAGCCUCCUUUACUAUGGGCUGAACUGUCCUGGCCUGCGAGUAAGAGACCUGAAGCUAUUCCAGAAUUUAGGCCUUGUCACUGUGGCGCCCUUGCUGCUAAUCCCUACAGCUAGCUGGCUGACCUUCAGCUUUCUCAUGCCGUUAUCUGUUGCGUAAUGAACUAGAAUCAGGCUCCAACCACUGCCUAUGCCCUUCAGUAAGAAGGGUGGAAUACUGCAAUGUCUCAUAACUAUGGUUUCAGCAAGCAAGUGUGAAAAUGUCAUUAGAAAGACUUCUCAGCAACAAGAUGGCUGCAUAGAGAACUGUGAGAAUCGGAAGGUUCCCAGAAAUAUUUUGUGAGCAGCUCUAUAGCAUAGAUUUAUGUAGGAUAGCUCCUGUGUCUAACACACCCACCACUACUACCAUGAUCUGAGCCUCCUAGGCUUCCUUUGGACGAAAAGGAAAGCAAAAGCUGACAACCGUGCUGUUUCGUGGAAACUUGUGAGGUUUAGAAAUUUGUUUUCCUUCCAUAUUGGAACAAAAUCAAACCUUUUAGAACAUUGUCACAGAAAUGGAAUUGUGUCAAAAUGUCUGGUUUUGGAUCAAAACCUGAGAUAUCUCAGAAGUAAAUUUGCGUGGGUGCAUGCUCUUUCUCCCUCUUUCUUGUCGAAACCCAUACGUCUCUGUGAAACAGCAUAUUUCGCCAAAAUUUCGUUUAGUCAAAAAUGUCCCGACCAGCUCUCGUUCUUCCUGUUCCUACGUUUGCUUUGCUGUGUAGUGCCACUGACAUGGCAAAAAAGCUCUCAGGCUAUUAGUGUACAAUUUAAUAAAUAUCCACAUUAAACAAAAUAACUUUUUAUUUUGCAUACAAACAAACAUACAAUGGCAUACUUUGCUCCCCUGCCCUCCAGCCAGUACUCUCAUUCCAUACAUGUGAGUGGUAAAAGCCCGCCCCAGAUCAUCGGAGAGUGCAACAAUGUUACACAAGCUGGGUUUUUUUCAAGUUUUCUAAAUAUUUUCCAACUUCUAUUGCAUACUGUUGUCUCCAUGCUGUGAACUCUUGCCAAAACUCCCCCAACAGCAUUCUUCACUGACUUUGCAAAUCAUUUAGACAGCAAACAAACCUUUUAAAGAGUCAUUGAUUUCUGCAAGA
Molecule: long non-coding RNA, 1379 nt
Organism: Dermochelys coriacea (leatherback sea turtle)
Lineage: Eukaryota; Metazoa; Chordata; Testudines; Dermochelyidae
Exons: 3
Source: RefSeq, a predicted model, not a curated record